Non-coding RNA from Taxawa tesnikishii (nom. ined.), 110 nucleotides. NCBI's taxonomy places the organism in Eukaryota, Fungi, Ascomycota, Dothideomycetes, Dothideales. The record is from the annotation of a GenBank genome assembly.
GGCGUGGUAGCAAAGUGGUUACUGCGAUUGACUCGAAUUCUUCUUCUACAAGAAGGAAGCCCGAAUAUCAAUUCCCUUCGGGGGCGUAGGUUCGAAUCCUGCCCACGUCG